Pseudoliparis swirei is the source of this 1694-nucleotide long non-coding RNA. RefSeq lists it as uncharacterized. The transcript has 3 exons. The record is from RefSeq and is a predicted model, not a curated record. NCBI's taxonomy places the organism in Eukaryota, Metazoa, Chordata, Actinopteri, Perciformes, Liparidae.
UUUAGGUUUUAACAUCAGACAUCAUUGUUCUUAUCAUCCUCAGUCAGCUGGUGCGGUUGAACGAGAAAAUGGUACCAUUAAAUCUAAACUGGCGAAAUGUUGUGAAGAGACAGGCCUAUCUUGGGUAAAAGCACUUCCGCUGGUGCUUUUUCACAUGCGCAUGCGAAUCAGGAACAAACAUGGCCUCAGCCCUUUUGAGAUAGUGCUCGGGAGACCCCCUCGCACUGGACUGGGCCCAGUAAGACACGCUUUGACGACUGAUCAUAAUGAAGACAGCAUGCUAAGAUAUUGUGCUAAUCUCUCAUCCUCACUCUCAGCACUUCACAGACAGGUGAAAGCUGCACUUCCCUCACCAGCCACUGCGAUCCAGCAUCACCUGAAACCAGGAGACUGGGUGCUCAUCAAGGAUCAUAGGAGAAAGCAUUGGAAGCAGAGACGCUACACAGGUCCCUUCCAAGUACUCCUGACCACAGAGACGGCGGUGAAGGUGGAAGGAAAAGCAACGUGGGUCCACGCCAGCCACUGCAAACGCAUCCCAAACCCAGAAGGAGAAGGAGCAGCUGCGACGGGUCCGGACUAAAGGGGAAGGCAUAUGCCCAUUUCAUCCAGGUCUCCUAUGCUGAUUCCAGUUCCCUUCACGGAAGCCGACUGGAGCGUUAUGGGAUGGCCUGAUAUAGCUCGUCAAUUCAUGCAAGUUCUGCGGUUCACGAUGUGAUAACAGACACGGAACGAGGAAUUGAGGAGUUGCAUAAAGACCAUGGCUGGAAUCCCUUUGGGGGGAUGCAGGCAUGGUUAGGAUCAUGGGGAGCUUCUCUUCUCAAGGGAUUGGUAUGGAUAAUAGCAGUCAUCAUUCUUGUUAUAAUUACUAUCACCCUAAUCACAACCGCUUCUAAGAUUUGUGUUCGGAAGAUAGUUACAACUCACGCAUCGGGUCAGCACAUGACCACACCGGUAGAACUCCCAGUCCGGAAAAGGGUUCCACAGUAUCUUGACAGCUCCGAUAGUGAUAAUGAGCUUGAGGACAAUGUUUAAGCAAGCAAUGUAUUUACACAGUAGAUUUAGCAAACUAUAAUCAAUUUUGUAUGUACUUCUUUGAGGUUGAUGAUGUGAUGUUUUGAAAUCUUUGUGAAUCUACACCACGGAUGUAUGCUCGAAGAAUGUUUAACAUUUUGUUACUAUUUUUCAGUUGUUAAAUUGUCAAAAAUGACAAAAAGAGAGGAUUGUUGGAGGAGAAAAUGUGUCAACAGUUGUCUCUCCCAUCUGUCUAUGGGGGAUAAUCUAAUCCUGUGUGGCGUCAUGUGCAAGGUCACAAACCGAUGACUUGAGGUGAUGGACCAACCGGAAAGGUCACUCAAAUGUUGGGGGGUUGCAGAAUAAACAGAGCCGUCAGGGAUCUCCACUUCCUCUUUAGUGGUAACAGAUGGGCUCUGGAAUGUGUACGUCUCGGCGAUGUGUAUAAGAACGAGACGAGCCGAUGAGGAGGGCAGCAUUAAGUCCGAGUCUCCUACAAAGGAGAGUGACAGACUUUGCUCCGCUCAGCUGGGUGUUUCCAUGACUUGUUUGAUGUGAUAUACUUAUUUGUUCCAUGACUUAUUUGUCCAGUUGAAUCACUUGUCCACUUGUUUGUACCUGGCUCACAUUCUGAUCAUUUGUGAACUUGUUACUAUAUAAUAAAGUGUGAUAAGACCACCGUG